Non-coding RNA from Oryctolagus cuniculus (rabbit), 6657 nucleotides. The record is from RefSeq and is a predicted model, not a curated record. Lineage: Eukaryota; Metazoa; Chordata; Mammalia; Lagomorpha; Leporidae.
UCUGUUUCCCUGGAGACGUGAUAAAGGUCUAAUGUUGACUGUUCCUAGGCAACGUUAGUUAUGGCAUAAAUGACUGCUGAUUGGCCAGCUGCAUCUGGGCUGCAAGAGUGAUAAGUGCCUGGUUGGAAGCUGUAUCGUUGGACUUCUGUGAUUUUGGUGACACAACUAGGAAACCACUCCAGCUCUGAGAACACAAGAAUGGAAGCAGGUGGGAAGGAUUAUUUGGAAGCCUGGUGCAGUCACCCACACAAGAGAUGAAUCAGGUGGCUUUGAGCAGGGUAGGAACAGUGGUUUUAUGUAUAUAUUUUUGAGAGAAAAAACAUCAAAAUUUGGUGCAAGAUUCAAUGUGAAAUAUGAGGGGGAAAAGAGAAAUCAAGGAUGGCUCUAAGGGUUUUGUCCUGAGCAAAUGGAAAAAAAAAAUUUUUUAAGCUUGUUAGUUUUGAGACAUCAUCAGUCUUCAAAGUGGAGAUAGUAGGUAAGUAGUUGAAUCUAAGACUGAAUUCAUGGUUAGUGAUGAAUGGUCACCUGCUGGAGGAAGGUGGGGAGAGACCCAGAUCCCAGGUGGAAGGAUGACCCUUGAUUUGCUGGGGGUGGGGGUGGGGCAUCUUCCACUGAAUGGGAAUGAUGUUAACAGAUGCAUUUACUUAGGGAGACAAAAAGGUGGAAGCUUAUUCCUCAUGGGAAGGAGCAGGAUGUGGCAGUGAGUGACAGGGCAAGGAGGCCUCACAGAGAAGGCAGGGAUGUGGAAAGGCCAGCCUGGUGCACAGACCAGUAGGGGGACUGUAAAUCUGCCCUGCUUCACUGCUGUGCUGCAGCUCAAGGCACUGUGGCAGGAUCUGCCAAACAAGCACAGAGGAUCCUUUCUCUUGUUAUGUACUCUGUGCAUGAUCAAAUGCCAAAAAGAGAAAGAACCCACUAAUCAGUAAGAACUAGCAGCCAACCUGGAACAAAAUGAAUGGAAACGAAAGAGCACCCAUGGAAGUGUCUGCAAUGAACAUCGUCUGGAGUUGUGUCUGCAGCAAGUUCAGCAGGGAAUUCAGCACAAUCUACGUCUUGUCCUGUACCAUGGUCAGGAUCAUUGCCUGCAGCCCUGCCCCUGUCAGGUUUCUCUGCUUCACGGGAAGCCUUUCAGCUCUGACUGACCGCCAGUCCCCCACCACCAGUACCUCCUACCUUCAGGUAGGAUGCCUAGCCUGGGUCCUUCAUACAUCAGCCGGUUUCAUCUUUUUGUUUGUUUUAAAGAUUUAUUUAUUUGUUGGAAAGUCAGAAAGUUACACAGAGAGAGGAGAGGCAGAGAGAGAAAGAGGUCUUCCAUCCACUGGUUCACUCCCCAAUUGGCCGCAAUGGCCGGAGCUGCACCAAUCCGAAGCCAGGAGCCGGAAACUUCUUCCAGGUCUUUCCAUGCUGGUGCAGGAGCCCAAGGACCUGGGCCAUAUUCUACUGCUUUCCCAGGCCAUAGCAGAGAUCAGAAGUGGAGCAGCCAGGACUCAAACCAGCACCCAUAAAGGAUGCUGGCCCUGCAGGCAGUGACUUUACCCACUAUGCCACAGCGCUGGCCCCCGGUUCAUCUUUAUAGCCUUUGCCAAGAAAUCGGAAGCCAGUUGACUGAGUACAAGAAGCAUUGCCCAAGACACUAGGUUCUGAGAAGUAUGAUGCCUUGAUGACUGUGGCAUCAAAAGCUGAAGGCUGUAAGGGCUCAGAGUUCAUGUGGGCUGGGUCAUUCAAUGCAGCAAACAUCUGUGGCAGCAGCGAUCUGUCAGGCACUGGGCAUCCUGCUAGACACUGAGGGAGAGAUGUGGCACAGCCCUUGCCCUCAGAUGGCUCAGAAUCCAGUGGUCCUAACAGUACAGGAGUACCUUCCAUUGUCAAAGAGUCAUCAUGAUCCCUCAAGAGCAUCCAAUCCGGGGCUGUCAUCUCAGCCACUGGAAGUUGGAGACCUGAGGAGGAGAACAUUGAGCUAAGUCUUAAGGAAUGAAUACGCAGAACCAAAAUAAAAUUUUUUACAAGAAGAAAAAAAUCGGAAGAUUUCGUGUGAUGCCUUCACAAACCCUAUUUCUUGGCACAGUGGUCAGAGGGACAGAUGGCAUUUUAGGAGGUGGAAUGAGGAUUAUUAAACAUCCUACAGUGCUGGAGAGGCGUUCCCAUACAACAGAAGAACGGUCCUGUGCAGAAUGCCAGCGGCACUUUCGCUGAGUGACACUGAUCCCACCUGGACUAGAAUCGGUGCUGUAGUUAGUUCUUGGAAUGAGCCUGUGAGUGUAGAUUAGUCCCAUUUUUCAAGUGGAACUUUUGAAGGCUCCUAGGUAAGUUAACUUGCCAAGAGAACCAGGAGGGCUGUGGCCGGGACUUGAAUCCCAGGCUGACUGCGCAGUGUGUGCCUGGACCCGUGCUCACACUGCUGUCAAGUAAUAUGGAACCAUGACAUCACAAAGACUGUGUAGCUACAGUUUGGUUUUUAAGACAGGAUUUUCAAUACAGAAAAAGUGCAAAACGACUCAAAGGGAAAAUAGAAAGUUAUAAAAAGUAUCAAUUUUCUUAAUUACAGAUUGGAUUUUUUAAAGAGUAUUCACUAUAUACCUAUUAUAAAAAAAGAUACCUUCCAAUUUCAUUAAAGAAAUAAAAAAUAACAUGGUCCAAAUUACAAAAGAAAGUAAAAUUAUCCACCCAGGAUCUGUAUUGCAAAUGAAAGUUAUGUUGCUUGAGGGAAGAAUUUAAACUCUCUUUUUAGCUUCCUAUGAUAAUCCUCUGAAAUUGGUUUAAUGGCUGACAACUUUAUAAACAAAGGGUUCUCUGUGAAGCUCAAAUUCUUUCCCAUUUCCAAGGUGAUAUUAAAAUAGCUUAAUUAAGUUUUUAUGCCUUGAUUUUUCCUUUGUAAAAAUAAAGUACAAUAAUCUUCUUUCAUCUUAUUUAAAAAGCAAGCUAACUCUAGAUAUGAAAAUAUACAGGGCCUGCAUUGUGGCCUGGUGGGUUAAGCCACCUCUUGCAAUGCCAGCGUCUCAGAGUGCUGGUUCAAGUUCUGGCUUAGAUCCAUCUCCGUGCUAAUGUUGGGCACCAAAAAGUAUGUUGUGCCCAGAUCGUUAGAUCCCCGCAGAGACCCCCAGAGAGUCGAUCACACCGAACUGCAAAAGUAAGGUUUAUUCGGGAGUACAAGCCGUGACAGGGACCCCAUCCAACCAACCGGCACAGCGGAGGAAGAAGUGAGGCCCCGGUCUUUGGGAGAGUUUUUAAAGGAAAAAAGAGCUACAUCAGCAGGAAAAAAGAGUUACUUACAGCAUGGAAGCUCUGGGGACAGGGAGUUACAGCGGGGGCCUACAGCACAGGAGCUCUGGGCACAGGGAGUUACUUUGUUUAGCAAUAUCUACUGUGCUGUCCUUGGUCUACCGAGCUAGCUGUCCCUGGUAAGCUUUGAUAUCUCCGGAAUGCCUGAAUGCCUACUUUUACAAGGACCCGGGUCUGCUAUGGGAAACGGAAGCUGCUUUUUUUUUUUAUUGUUUUAAAAUGGAGUCACUUUGGUUCUUCACUAACAUGCCUGGGAGGACAGCAGAUCAUGGCCCAUGUUCCUGGGUCCCUGCCCUGCCAUGUAGGGACCUGGAUGGAAUUUCUGCCUCCUGGCUUCAGUCUGGUCCAGGCCUAGCCAUUGAGGCCAUUUGAGCAGUGAACUGGCAAAUCAAGGAUCUCUCUCUAUAUAUCUCUGUCUCUCCCUCCCUCUGUGUCGCUGUGCCUUUCAAAUAAAUACAUAAAUAAAUCUUUUGAAAAAUGACAAUACAGCAAAGCAAAAUCUAAGGUAUCAUUAGAAAAGCAGCUCAUUGAUGAUAAAAUUGUAAUACAACAGCUUUUUCAGUAUUUUGUAAGUUGACUCUUCCAUGGCAAGUAGCAGUUGGUGAUCUGUUAAUACUAAAAAGUUGUGUUUAACACAACCAGUGAAACUUUGAGAAUACUCAGGGAGGGGUUUAUCAUCUAUCAAAGAUCUGUUGAUUCUUUCUGAUGCCCUGAUAAAGAAGGAUUAGAAUCAGCACCCUUGUCUUACUCAUCUGACAAAUAUUUAUUCAUUUCUGAGCAAGUAGCUAUUUUCAAGGCUGCUAUGAAAUAAGAGCAUAUAAAGAGAGCAUUCCUUAGAUUACAUCAGUCCACAUAAGAAACAGUUAUAAAGUCACUGUAAACCAGUAGAGUGUAGGCGUCUAUGUAUCCUAUGCCUGUACAGUCAUAUACCCUCAGGGCCAGUAGUGUAAACCUGACUUUUUGUGCUAUAAACACCACCACUCAGACACUCAACACACUCAACAAAAUAGACCAAAUCCUGGAAGGUCAACAUGUUGCUUCCUGGAAAAAUGAGAUUGCUUUAGAUCUCUGCUCAGUGACUCCAGGUUAUCUUAUUAUGACAGAAUCUAAAACAGCCCACAGGCAGGCCACGACCAAAUAUAGAGUUUGCAUUUAGCAACCAGAAGCAGGAACUGGAAGAUGCAAGGCCUCUGGGAGCCCUGGGGGACCUGCUUUGUGAUUGUUAUACAGGAAAGACACUUCCUGCUUUCUGAAUUGGGGGGGGGGGGGGAGAAUGAUUUAAAUCAUUUGAAACCACCUACAAAAAUUCCUUGCAGACUUCCCCAGUCCCUAGGAACAAGCCAGCCAUUGGGGUCAGUGUCAGAGUUUGGGACAUCUGAGUUUGUUGGUCAAAACUGAUCCCACUUUGAUUUUUACUGCAUACUGAGGUUGGUUUCUGCUUCUCUAAUUUUAGAGCCAUUAAUGUCAGCUUCAUGGAAAAUGGCCUUCUGGUGAAAAUGCUCAAAACAGUUCACUGGAAGGUACAGGCAGUAAAUAUUAUAGAUUCCAGAGCAAUUUGAAGAGUAGAUUUGGAUAAUGUACCCUGAAGCCUUGCUUCUACUCCAUUCCCACACUCCUCUGUCCCAUACUUUUGGGCAUUUCUAGCAACUUUCUUCUUUUGCCAAAUUUGAAUAUGUAAGUUAAGGCCCAUAAAUUUUUAUGUAGAUUAACUCAUUGUUUAAGCUGAAAUUCUGAAUACUGAUGAAAUAUCAGAUGGCACCAAUGGAUAGGCUUAAAAUCAAGACCUCAUGUAAGAUUUGUUUUAUGUGGUGCUGGGAAAACUGUAUCUCCACAUGCAGAAGUAUGAAGCAAGACCCCUACCUUACACCUUACACAAAAAUCCACUCAAUGUGGAUUAAAGAUAUAAAUCUAUGACCUAACACCAUCAAAUUAUUAGAGAACAUUGGAGAAGUUCUGCAAGACAUUAGCAUAGGCAAACAUUUCUUGGAAAAGACCCGAGAGACACAGGCAGUCAAAGCCAAAAUUAACAAAUGGGAUUACAUCAAAUUGAGAAGUUUCUGUACAGCAAAAGAAACAGGAAAGUGAAGAGGCAACCGAUAGAAUGGGAGAAAUUAUUUAAAACUAUGCAACUGAUAAAGGAUUAAUAACCAGAAUCUACAAAGAGAUCAAGAAACUCCACAACAACAAAACAAACAACCCAGUUAAGAGAUGGGCCAGGGGCCAGUGCUGUGGCAUAGUAGGUUAAGCCACUACCUGCAAUGCAGCAUCCCAUAUGGCCGCCGGUUCAAGACCCAGCUGCUCCACUUCUGAUCAAGCUCUCCGCUAUGGCCUGGGAAAGCAGUAGAAGAUGGCCCAAGUCCUUGAGCCCCUACACCUGUGUAGGAGACCCAGAAGAAGCUCCUGGCACCUGGCUUCAGAGCAGCUCAGCUCUGGCCAUUGUGUUCAUUUGAGGAGUAAAACAGCAGAUGGAAGACCUUUCUCUCUCUCUGCCUCUCCUUCUCUCUCUAUGUUGCUCUGACUUGCAAAUAAAUAAAUAAAUCUUAAAAAAAAAAAAAGAGAGAGAUGGGCCAAGGACUUAAACAGAUAUUUUUCAAAGGAGGAAAUCCAAAUGGCCAAAAGACACGUGAAAAAAUGUUCAGAAUCACUAGCCAUCAGGGAAAUGCAAAUCAAAACCACAAUGAGGUUUCACCUCACCCCGGUUAGAAUGGCUCACAUACAGAAAUCUACAAACAAGAAAUGCUGGUGAGGAUGUGGAGGAAAAGGUACCCUAAUCCACUGUUGGGAAUGCAAACUUGUAAAGCCACUAUGGAAGACAGUUUGGAGAUGCCUCAGAAAUCUGAAUAUAGUCCUACCAUGUGACCCAGCCAUCCCACUCCUUGGAAUUUACCCAAGGGAAAUGAAAUCAGCAAAUAAAGAGCUAUCUGCACCUCCAAGUUUAUUGCAGCUCAAUUCACAAUAGCUAAGACAUGGAAUUAACCUAAAUGGCCAUUAAUGGAAGACUGAAAAAGAAAUUUUUGGAUAUGUACUCUAUGGAAUACUACACAGCAGUAGAAAAAAAAAGGAAUCCAGUCAUUUGCAAUAAAAUGGAUGAAUCUGGAAAACAUCAGACUUAGUGAAAUAAGCCAGUCCCAAAGGGACAAAUAUUAUAUGUUCUCCCUGAUCUGUGACAACUAACAGAGCAUUUAAAAGAAAACUUGUAGAAGUGCAGUUGAGACUGUGAGAAGCAAUGACUUAAUCAGCCCCUUGUCUUGACUGUUGAGGAACAGUUUAUUAUUGUUUUACUUUUUCUUUUUCUACUUAAUACCAUUGGUUGAACUCUUUACUUAACACAGAAUUAUUCAUAGGUGUUUAAAUCCAAUUGAAAAUUGAUCCCAGUAA